CGGAGGAUCCAAGCGUUAUCCGGAUUUAUUGGGUUUAAAGGGUGCGUAGGCGGCCUGUUAAGUCAGGGGUGAAAGACGGUAGCUUAACUAUCGCAGUGCCCUUGAUACUGAUGGGCUUGAAUAUACUUGAGGUAGGCGGAAUGUGACAAGUAGCGGUGAAAUGCAUAGAUAUGUCACAGAGCACCAAUUGCGAAGGCAGCUUACUAAGGUAUGAUUGACGCUGAGGCACGAAAGCGUGGGGAUCAAACAGGAUUAGAUACCCUGGUAGUCCACGCCCUAAACGAUGAACACUCGAUGUUGGCGAUAUACGGUCAGCGUCAAAGCGAAAGCGUUAAGUGUUCCACCUGGGGAGUACGCCCGCAAGGGUG
RNAcentral lists this ribosomal RNA (368 nucleotides) under uncultured organism. Its description in RNAcentral is "bacterial SSU rRNA". It matches the Rfam family "Bacterial small subunit ribosomal RNA", at positions 526 to 896 of the family's 1533-position model. The record is from RNAcentral.